RNAcentral lists this ribosomal RNA (254 nucleotides) under uncultured bacterium. RNAcentral's name for it is "partial 16S ribosomal RNA". It matches the Rfam family "Bacterial small subunit ribosomal RNA", at positions 524 to 776 of the family's 1533-position model. The record is from RNAcentral.
GACAGAGGUGCCAAGCGUUAGGCGGAAUCACUGGGCUUAAAGCGUGUGUAGGCGGGUCGUUAAGUACCUUGUGAAAUCCCCCCGGCUCAACCGGGGAACGGCUGGGUAUACUGGCGAUCUUGAGCCACCUAGGGGCAGUCGGAACAAGUGGUGGAGCGGUGAAAUGCGUAGAUAUCACUUGGAACGCCAAUGGUGAAAACAGACUGCUGGGGGUGUGCUGACGCUGAGACACGAAAGCCAGGGGAGCAAACGGG